This 65-nucleotide transfer RNA is filed under the name Dipodomys ordii (Ord's kangaroo rat). It matches the Rfam family "tRNA". Rfam says of the family: Transfer RNA (tRNA) molecules are approximately 80 nucleotides in length. Their secondary structure includes four short double-helical elements and three loops (D, anti-codon, and T loops). Lineage: Eukaryota; Metazoa; Chordata; Mammalia; Rodentia; Heteromyidae. The record is from Rfam by way of RNAcentral.
GGUGGCUCAGUGGUAGAGUGCUUGCCUUGCAUGCGUGAAGCUCUGGGUUCAAUUCCUCAGCACCA